This 116-nucleotide ribosomal RNA is filed under the name Salinivibrio sp. ML323. The record is from RNAcentral. Lineage: Bacteria; Pseudomonadati; Pseudomonadota; Gammaproteobacteria; Vibrionales; Vibrionaceae.
CUUGKCGACCAUAGCGCUUUGGACCCACCUGACUCCAUGCCGAACUCAGUAGUGAAACGAAGCAGCGCCGAUGGUAGUGUGGGGUUUCCCCAUGUGAGAGUAGGACAUCGCCAGGC